UUGAAUUUUGAUUUCGUCCUUGAUGAGUAGUAGGGCACGAUUUGUAUGUUUCUUGUUUUAGUGAUUUACAAGUUUUUACAUGUCAUUAAUCUCUUGAAUAGCAUAAAAUUAUAAUUAAAUGCACGUUUAAACAUAAAUGUAAAUAAAGGUUUUGCUAGUAUCAUGGGAGAGAGUGUACAAACUUAGUGCAUAGAGUAAACCCUACAGUGGACAUGUCCUCAGUCUCAUGGGACUGGGAGGUCCCAUAUCGAAU
RNAcentral lists this long non-coding RNA (253 nucleotides) under Carica papaya (papaya). RNAcentral's name for it is "long non-coding RNA (CPAP_LNC003166)". Lineage: Eukaryota; Viridiplantae; Streptophyta; Magnoliopsida; Brassicales; Caricaceae. The record is from RNAcentral.